GCCGAAGAUUGUCAUUGUACACGAUGAUAUUGUUACAUUCUGAGAGCUUGAGCUAAUCAGCCAUUCCUUCCUCGGAAGGAAGUGCGUUGAGAUCGAUCGCCCGAAUCUUCGUCUUGCUCCCACCAAUCUGUUGUUAAUCACAACAGCAUCUUCUCUUCCUCCAACAUCAAUUCCUGUUCAAAAUCAAGGCAUAAAUAAGGUGUGGAAUCCAAUGGACUUCCAACACAAAGACACAACAAAACAGAGCCAAGAAAUAUCAAAAUCCGUUGGCUGGGAAGCAGCAUAAUACAUUCCAUUUCUACCUUUUUAGCAAGAUUGGUAGCUUAUAUUAGUUGAGAUUAAGAAUGAGAGUCCAGUUACCUUAGUUUCUCUGGUCUGUAUUAGUGCGGUCUCAAAUUGUUUCUCAAGAUUUAUAAAGUCGGCGACGCUGAGGUCGUCGGCGGAUGGCUCCUCAAGAUCCCUGCUAAAAUAGGAAAAACUGUUGUAGCCAUUAAUCCCAUCUUAACAAAGUAGAAUAAAGUAAAAUAGAGGGAGGGCUGAAGUUGCUGCCUUUCCACAA
Molecule: long non-coding RNA, 559 nt
Organism: Salvia miltiorrhiza (redroot sage)
Lineage: Eukaryota; Viridiplantae; Streptophyta; Magnoliopsida; Lamiales; Lamiaceae
Exons: 3
Source: RefSeq, a predicted model, not a curated record